Long non-coding RNA from Leptinotarsa decemlineata (Colorado potato beetle), 1117 nucleotides. RefSeq lists it as uncharacterized. NCBI's taxonomy places the organism in Eukaryota, Metazoa, Arthropoda, Insecta, Coleoptera, Chrysomelidae. The record is from RefSeq and is a predicted model, not a curated record.
GUCAUGUCCAUGUAAUUGAUAUAUACUUAUUAUUUUUUUAUUUGUAAAUAAGUCUAUAUAUACAGAAUUAUAUAAAAUUUAUAGGCAUGUAAAAAUUGAAGGAUUCAAAGUAUUGUGGAUGCGUUUGGAUAUCAAUGGAUAGGUAUAUCAGAAAAAUGUUAAAAGCAUAAAACACUUGAAUUUCUUGAAAAACGGGUAAAAACCUAGUAAAAAUCAUAAAGAGCAAGCAAGGAAGCGAUAUUGAGAAGGAAAAAUCCGAAUGUGGGUCAACAGAAAUUUUAGUACUGUACUUAUGGUAGAUCUAGUGGUCUGGGCAAGCAGUCAAGUUUUGUAGGAGGUGAGGUGACUGAGAAUUCCAACUAUUUCUCUUCUGGCAAUCCUACUAACAACAACAACAGAUCCUGGUUCAUCGCUAUUUCACAAAAGAUAGUGAAAUAAUCAUCAAAGAGGAAGGCGAGGCAUCUUCACAUUUACUUUUGCGAAGAGUUUCUAGUUGAGGAUGGUCGUGUUAUGAAAAAAGUGAUGACAUUUCUAGCACAGAAUGUUUAACCACCAAUUAAGUUGGAAGUUGGUCUGGAAUCAUAUGGAAAAAGUAUAAUUUUCAAAAAUCAGAAAUACUGUUGAACAUUGUUGAGUUCUCAUAACAGAGGAGAAUUAUUCCAUUGUAAAAUUUGCACAAAAGCUUCUAUUCAGAAAGCUGACCCGAAAGUACAUGAAAGAACUCAUAAUGGAGAAAACCCCCUCCAUUGUAAGAUUUGCACAAAAACUUUGUGCAAAUUUUACAAUGGAGGGGUUUUUUUCCAGUAUGAGUUCCUUUAUGAGCUUUCAAGUUUUCACUGUGAAAGUAAUUUUGCAAAUUUGUAUGUUAUAAAAUUUGCACAAUUUCUCUCACAGUGAAAACUUGAAAGUUCUUGAAAGAAAUAUCUCCAAGGGGAUCUUAGAAAUUUCAUAUAUCAGUUAGAUAGAUAGCAAGAUAGAUUGUAUUCUUAAAUCAUAUUGGAAUAUUCACCUAAUUGAACUUGAAACACUGAGGCAUGCAAUAAAACAAAUAUUAAAUAUCCUCUAUGUUGUUAGAAUUAAGUAACUCAAUUAUAUUAAUAAAAACAUUUUAAAAAAU